Molecule: long non-coding RNA, 285 nt
Organism: Poecilia latipinna (sailfin molly)
Lineage: Eukaryota; Metazoa; Chordata; Actinopteri; Cyprinodontiformes; Poeciliidae
Exons: 3
Source: RefSeq, a predicted model, not a curated record
AAUUAUUUUAUUUUUUAUAGAAAUUGAGGAUAGGAGGAAUCAAUUAAAAUCAAAUCUGGUAUGAAAAGAAAUCUUGUAAGUCAUAUCAUCCAGCCUUAUUCAGUAUAUUGAAUUAUACGACUAACUGCAUAUUACUUAAUAUUCAAAUUUCUUUGCACUUAAAAGUGGUGCAUUUUAAUAUCUCACUUGAAUUCCUGAUCUACAUGCAAAUACUUGAUAUAAUGUAAACACUGAGAAAAGGGGGGGGAAAGGUUUGUGAAAUGUAGAAUAAAUUUUACUGUGGGU